RNAcentral lists this long non-coding RNA (566 nucleotides) under Phoenix dactylifera (date palm). RNAcentral describes it as "long non-coding RNA (PDAC_LNC021087)". Lineage: Eukaryota; Viridiplantae; Streptophyta; Magnoliopsida; Arecales; Arecaceae. The record is from RNAcentral.
UCAUUUUACAAAAUUUAGCCCUUUUUUGACAGCAUAUGGAGGCCCUUUCAUUUAUUUGUAGAUGGAUAAACGAAUGAAUGAUUGAUAAAUAAAGAUCUUUCUAGUCCGAUCUCUCAUUUUUCUUGGUGCUUUCUGUUGGCAAAAAUGUUGGACACCUCGAUCUCAGACCAGACCUGCCCUCUUGACUUCAGACGCAAACUGAGAAGAACGACCCCGGGUUUAGCCGAGCAACCGACCAACUGAAGUGAGCGACCUCGAUUCAAACCGAAGAGCCAUUAGCCGAGAAAAGUAAUCAAUACGUGUCGACAAGGACUGACAGUUAUAACAACCGACAGGUAUGGUAGCUCGUAGUCACAAAAGCACUACGGCAUGCACCCCAUCGGCACUACUCGCCGCCUAUGCGGACUGCACCCACGCUUUUGCCGUAUUACCGGUCAUUACCUAACCAUCAUUGUACACCAUGUUAGGCCAAAUAACGACAAAAUGAGCUCCUCUAUAUAAAAAUGCAGCUCAGAGGACCUCAAGUAUGUAUAGAAUAUUACUCGUAGAACCUACUCUCUGUUGAA